UUUGCAGAAUAGCAGCCGGUAUGCAUGAAGAAUGUAUUGAAAAGGUUGGAAGAAUCAGCCUUCAGUGCUUAUAGUUGGAAAAGAGCCAGCUGCCACUUAAAAAGAGAGAAGACACCGCAGGGGAGCAGUUCACAGGAAGAUACUUCAGAAAAUGUAUAAACUCCCAUGUAUGAUUGCUGUUCUUCAACUCAGGACCACAUACUGAUAUACGUUGGUACAAAACUUGCUUUUGUUUUGGGAAGAAUCUUGACUCAAAGAUGUCUGUAUGGGGCAGACUCACCACAGCUGAGAAGACUUCAGCUUGAGAGACAGCAAGUCAAUGGAUGCUACACACCUGCCAGAAGGAAAUGAGCAUCCUCUGACUUCAAAGUGAUGGUGACCAAGCAGGGACAGGAUUCCCACAUCUUCGUGCAACUCAUCACACAGGUGCACAUGGUUUUUGUAUACUUGUACUGCUAAAUUUAAGUCUUAUCUCCAAGAAAAUCUUCAAUAGUUUGUAGAUUUUGUUCAGGGGAUGUAAAGAUCACCGGGCCCAAACCAGCGCAACCACUUGGCAACUGCACAGGGAACUCUGUCCUUCAGCCUCAGGCCUAUUCAUUGCUCAUCUGUUCUCCUGAACCUCAUUUGAUUAUUUCCAAGCUACUAGUUCUUCUAAGCCAGUUUUUAAAAAUCUCUUUAAUUUUUAGGGAAACUUAUGGAUUUGAUUAUCUUUUAGCAUGAAGAUAGGGCAAACACCUAUCCUACCUUGCUAGCUAGGAGUGUUGCUUAAGAUGUAUAAAAGUUCUUGAAAUAAAAACAUUUUUGUACUUCCAACCAGGUAUUUUGAUGAGUUUCUCCACAGUGUGAGCAUAUGCAAUCUGAAGAUAGUAGAGUGGGGUCUGAUUAAAGCCCUUAUGAACAUUCCAAGUUCUGGAUUAGUGCUGACAUCUGCUGUUUAUUCAUAUCACAUACAAGUAACACGAGACAGGGAAUUAUUUCCUGUGUGCUUUUUGUCUCAAUUCCUUGUUUCAUUUUGCAUCAGGUAAUGUUGAUAAAAUCACAAGAUACUGUAAAACUUCCACAGGUCAA
Long non-coding RNA from Lagopus muta (rock ptarmigan), 1068 nucleotides. RefSeq lists it as uncharacterized. The transcript is spliced from 3 exons. The record is from RefSeq and is a predicted model, not a curated record. Lineage: Eukaryota; Metazoa; Chordata; Aves; Galliformes; Phasianidae.